RNAcentral lists this ribosomal RNA (305 nucleotides) under uncultured bacterium. RNAcentral's name for it is "bacterial SSU rRNA". It matches the Rfam family "Bacterial small subunit ribosomal RNA", at positions 334 to 637 of the family's 1533-position model. The record is from RNAcentral.
UGUGCCUACGGGGGGCAGCAGUGAGGAAUAUUGGUCAAUGGGCGGGAGCCUGAACCAGCCAAGACGCGUGAGGGAAGAAGGUACAGCGUAUCGUAAACCUCUUUUGUCAGGGAACAAAGGCGGGGACUAGUCCCCGGAUGAGGGUACCUGAAGAAAAAGCAUCGGCUAACUCCGUGCCAGCAGCCGCGGUAAUACGUAGGUGGCGAGCGUUAUCCGGAAUGAUUGGGCGUAAAGGGUGCGUAGGCGGCCUGCUAAGUCUGGAGUGAAAGGUACCGGCUCAACCGGUACAGGCUCUGGAAACUGGG